RNAcentral lists this ribosomal RNA (254 nucleotides) under uncultured bacterium. RNAcentral describes it as "partial 16S ribosomal RNA". It matches the Rfam family "Bacterial small subunit ribosomal RNA", at positions 524 to 776 of the family's 1533-position model. The record is from RNAcentral.
UACGUAGGGGGCAAGCGUUGUCCGGAUUUAUUGGGCGUAAAGAGCUCGUAGGUGGUUCGGUAAGUCGGAUGUGAAAUCUCCAGGCUCAACCUGGAGGGGUCAUUCGAUACUGCCGUGACUAGAGUUCGGUAGGGGAGUGCGGAAUUCCUGGUGGAGCGGUGAAAUGCGCAGAUAUCAGGAGGAACACCCGUAGCGAAGGCGGCACUCUGGGCCGAUACUGACACUGAGGAGCGAAAGCGUGGGGAGCGAACAGG